GCGAAUGGAUUAAGAGCUUGCUCUUAUGAAGUUAGCGGCGGACGGGUGAGUAACACGUGGGUAACCUGCCCAUAAGACUGGGAUAACUCCGGGAAACCGGGGCUAAUACCGGAUAACAUUUUGAACCGCAUGGUUCGAAAUUGAAAGGCGGCUUCGGCUGUCACUUAUGGAUGGACCCGCGUCGCAUUAGCUAGUUGGUGAGGUAACGGCUCACCAAGGCAACGAUGCGUAGCCGACCUGAGAGGGUGAUCGGCCACACUGGGACUGAGACACGGCCCAGACUCCUACGGGAGGCAGCAGUAGGGAAUCUUCCGCAAUGGACGAAAGUCUGACGGAGCAACGCCGCGUGAGUGAUGAAGGCUUUCGGGUCGUAAAACUCUGUUGUUAGGGAAGAACAAGUGCUAGUUGAAUAAGCUGGCACCUUGACGGUACCUAACCAGAAAGCCACGGCUAACUACGUGCCAGCAGCCGCGGUAAUACGUAGGUGGCAAGCGUUAUCCGGAAUUAUUGGGCGUAAAGCGCGCGCAGGUGGUUUCUUAAGUCUGAUGUGAAAGCCCACGGCUCAACCGUGGAGGGUCAUUGGAAACUGGGAGACUUGAGUGCAGAAGAGGAAAGUGGAAUUCCAUGUGUAGCGGUGAAAUGCGUAGAGAUAUGGAGGAACACCAGUGG
This 669-nucleotide ribosomal RNA is filed under the name Bacillus thuringiensis. Its description in RNAcentral is "bacterial SSU rRNA". It matches the Rfam family "Bacterial small subunit ribosomal RNA", at positions 66 to 715 of the family's 1533-position model. The record is from RNAcentral. Lineage: Bacteria; Bacillati; Bacillota; Bacilli; Caryophanales; Bacillaceae.